RNAcentral lists this long non-coding RNA (302 nucleotides) under Medicago truncatula (barrel medic). RNAcentral describes it as "long non-coding RNA (MTRU_LNC000216)". The record is from RNAcentral. Lineage: Eukaryota; Viridiplantae; Streptophyta; Magnoliopsida; Fabales; Fabaceae.
UUUUGCUGUAUUUCCUGUGUGUUUUUUUUUUGGUUGUUUUGCAGGUUGUAUUUAUAGUGUGGUUUGGAACUAGGGUUUGUUGAGAAGAACAAAAAAUCUGGGCCGAUUGUGAUGAGGAGCAAUAGCUAGUUGGAUUAAAACAAACGCGUAGAACUGAUGGACGCGUGACAGAUUGCUUUCUUGAUAUGAACCAAUUUUUGUUGGGAUUUUUAUGGACAUUAUCAGAUAAGAACAAAAUAAUAAAUUAAAAAUCAAAAAUAAAAGAAAUGCAGACUUUGACUUUUGGAUUCAUCUAAACAAAG